GGGUCUAUGAUGACAAAUAAAUGUCAUGAAGAGAGGUGGUGACAUAAAAAUCAUGCUCAAUAUGAUUACACUGAGGCCC
Molecule: small nucleolar RNA, 79 nt
Organism: Mesocricetus auratus (golden hamster)
Lineage: Eukaryota; Metazoa; Chordata; Mammalia; Rodentia; Cricetidae
Gene: SNORD115
Rfam family: Small nucleolar RNA SNORD115
About the family: HBII-52 is a member of the C/D class of snoRNAs, which contain the C (UGAUGA) and D (CUGA) box motifs. HBII-52 is encoded in a tandemly repeated array with another C/D snoRNA, HBII-85, in the Prader-Willi syndrome (PWS) region of chromosome 15.
Source: Ensembl